AACAGGAUUAGAUACCCUGGUAGUCCACGCCGUAAACGAUGUCGACUAGCCGUUGGGCUCCUUGAGAGCUUUGUGGCGCAGUUAACGCGAUAAGUCGACCGCCUGGGGAGUACGGCCGCAAGGUUAAAACUCAAAUGAAUUGACGGGGGCCCGCACAAGCGGUGGAGCAUGUGGUUUAAUUCGAUGCAACGCGAAGAACCUUACCUACCCUUGACAUCGAGAGAACUUUCCAGAGAUGGAUUGGUGCCUUCGGGAACUCCCAGACAGGUGCUGCAUGGCUGUCGUCAGCUCGUGUUGUGAAAUGUUGGGUUAAGUCCCGUAACGAGCGCAACCCUUGUCCCUAUUUGCCAGCGAUUCGGUCGGGAACUCUAGGGAGACUGCCGGUGACAAACCGGAGGAAGGUGGGGACGACGUCAAGUCAUCAUGGCCCUUACGGGUAGGGCUACACACGUGCUACAAUGGCCGGUACAAAGGGUUGCGAAGCCGCGAGGUGGAGCUAAUCCCGAAAAGCCGGUCUCAGUCCGGAUCGGAGUCUGCAACUCGACUCCGUGAAGUCGGAAUCGCUAGUAAUCGUGAAUCAGAAUGUCACGGUGAAUACGUUCCCGGGCCUUGUACACACCGCCCGUCACACCAUGGGAGUGGACUGCACCAGAAGUGGUUAGCUUAACCUUCGGGGGAGCGAUCACCACGGUGUGGUUCAUGACUGGGGUGAAGUCGUAACAAGGUAACC
RNAcentral lists this ribosomal RNA (730 nucleotides) under uncultured bacterium. RNAcentral describes it as "bacterial SSU rRNA". It matches the Rfam family "Bacterial small subunit ribosomal RNA", at positions 771 to 1501 of the family's 1533-position model. The record is from RNAcentral.